GGGGGAAUAGCUCAGUGGUAGAGUGUGUGCUUAGCAUGCAUGAGGUCCUGGGUUCAAUUUCCAGUACCUCCA
This 72-nucleotide transfer RNA is filed under the name Camelus bactrianus (Bactrian camel). It matches the Rfam family "tRNA". From Rfam's summary of the family: Transfer RNA (tRNA) molecules are approximately 80 nucleotides in length. Their secondary structure includes four short double-helical elements and three loops (D, anti-codon, and T loops). RNAcentral also lists the same sequence under 2 other names. The record is from Rfam by way of RNAcentral. Lineage: Eukaryota; Metazoa; Chordata; Mammalia; Artiodactyla; Camelidae.